GCUUACGGCAUACCACCCUGAGAACGCCCGAUCUCGUCCGAUCUCGGAAGCUAAGCAGGGUCGGGCCUGGUUAGUACUUGAUGGAGACCGCCUGGGAUACCAGGUGCUGUAAGCU
Molecule: ribosomal RNA, 115 nt
Filed under: Takifugu rubripes (torafugu)
Lineage: Eukaryota; Metazoa; Chordata; Actinopteri; Tetraodontiformes; Tetraodontidae
Source: RNAcentral